GCGGGCGUGGUGGAAUUGGUAGACACGCUAGACUUAGGAUCUAGUGCCGCAAGGUGUGGAGGUUCGAGUCCUCUCGCCCGCACAA
RNAcentral lists this transfer RNA (85 nucleotides) under Subsaximicrobium wynnwilliamsii. RNAcentral's name for it is "tRNA-Leu". It matches the Rfam family "tRNA". Rfam says of the family: Transfer RNA (tRNA) molecules are approximately 80 nucleotides in length. Their secondary structure includes four short double-helical elements and three loops (D, anti-codon, and T loops). RNAcentral also lists the same sequence under 3 other names. Lineage: Bacteria; Pseudomonadati; Bacteroidota; Flavobacteriia; Flavobacteriales; Flavobacteriaceae. The record is from RNAcentral.